UAAUCUUAUUGGUGGAAUUAGGUCUUAAUAAGAAACCCUACAGGAAGUGUCAAGAAGCAGUGAAAGCCUAAAUAGAGGAGAGGAUCACAUCACAAAAAGUUGCCCUCUAAAGCGAAAAGCGUAUAAAACGUGUAAAACUGGAGACUUGACUAGUUGAUUUGAUUCUUGUAUAUUUCUUUACGUGGCUAACUUGGCUUUAAAAGAAAAGAAUGCCUCCUUGUUUAUCAAAAUUAACGAUGAGAGACGUCUACUGCAUUUAUCCACAAAAGAAUAAUGCUGUACCACAAUACAACCAAACGAUCAUUGCUAUGCUCCAAAAAAGACCUGAGCGAAGUUCUUUCGCUAGAACUGAUAUGUACGAUAUUGUGAGCUUGCUUUACAUGUCGAAUGAGUUGGUUGAAAAAGAGAUCAUGAAAAGUGAAGGAGAAAAUCCACUCUCGUUUAUUCUGUCUCACCUUGACGCAACACACGAGACUUUGUAACUGUUACUCGAUACUUUAUGGCUGGAAAUAUAGACCAUGAAGGUUCCAUAAGCAAGAACUAUUUUCGGACAUAGAGAAGUGCGAUUACAUCGAAAGUCCAAUUACAGGUGAUGGUCGUCCAGUAGGUGACCAUAAAUUACCCAAUGGUAAUUUGGCAACGUCUUAGUCAGGUGACCAAACAAACGCUUCUAACCCACAACUCCUCCGCGGAUCAUUAUGACAACAUCAUUUUUUCCGUGUUAAUUUUGUUUGUUAAUUUCUUGGUUAUAAAAGUAGCAAUUUUGGACUUAUCGGACGAGUACUAAACUAAAGUACCAGUGUUGCCAGAUCGUGAACAAAGUUCAACAUUCAAACAAGACUUUCAACUUGAUUAGUACAUUUUUACCUUCGUGGCUAACUUGGCUUCAGCAGAAGAGCCAUGGAUAAUUUGCGUGCUAAAACUUCGAAAAUCAAGACACGUUCAGAAAAUGAGCAAAAUAACCAAAGCAAUGGUGAGGAAAACUUUCAAGAUCGUCUUGGAGAAGUGAGAGCGGAAAUGGGAAAUGGUACUGGAGGUUAUCUCAUACCAGAGAGCCGUAUUGAAGAAUUCAAUUGUUCGCCUUACAUACCAGAAGAACUUUAAAUUGACUUUGGCCUGAUGUAUUAGAACCUUCAUAUUUAAAAACAACCACUAACCUUAUAUGUUUUAUAGUUUUACUAUCCUGAUUUCAAUUAACUGUAAGACGUUUAUCUCUAUUUGUAUAUUUAAAUAUCACCUUUAAGUAACACAUUCAUUUGCACUGAUGAUGGCAUAAGUUUGCCGAAACAUGUCUGUAAUAAAAAAGUUUGUUUUAUA
Molecule: long non-coding RNA, 1317 nt
Organism: Xenia sp. Carnegie-2017
Lineage: Eukaryota; Metazoa; Cnidaria; Anthozoa; Malacalcyonacea; Xeniidae
Exons: 3
Source: RefSeq, a predicted model, not a curated record